This 497-nucleotide ribosomal RNA is filed under the name uncultured bacterium. Its description in RNAcentral is "partial 16S ribosomal RNA". It matches the Rfam family "Bacterial small subunit ribosomal RNA", at positions 28 to 507 of the family's 1533-position model. The record is from RNAcentral.
GAUGAACGCUGGCGGCGUGCCUAAUACAUGCAAGUCGAGCGGAAGGGCGCGAAGCUUGAGUCUCUGUCGUUAGGGGCGGACGGGUGAGUAACACGUGGAUAACCUCCCUCUAAGACUGGGAUAACUUCGGGAAACCGGAGCUAAUACCGGAGAAUAUUUUGAACCGCGUGGUUCAAGAGUGAAAGACGGUCUGGCUGGCGCUCAUAGAUGGAUCCGCGCUGCAUUAGCUAGUAGGUAAGGUAACGGCUUACCGAGGCAACGAUGCAUAGCCGACCUGAGAGGGUGGUCGGCCACCCUGGAACUGAGACGCCGUCCUGGGGCCUGAGGGACGCCGCAGUCGGCAAUCGUCCGCAGUGGUCGAAAGCAUUACGGAGCGAGCGCGCGUGUGUUAUGGAGGCGCUCGGUUCGUAAUGCUGUGCUAUGAGGGAUGAACAUAUGUCGAAGGAACUGUGGAGAUCUUGACGGUACCUAGUCAGAAAGCCCCGGCUAACUACGUG